This 468-nucleotide ribosomal RNA is filed under the name uncultured bacterium. Its description in RNAcentral is "partial 16S ribosomal RNA". It matches the Rfam family "Bacterial small subunit ribosomal RNA", at positions 28 to 507 of the family's 1533-position model. The record is from RNAcentral.
GACGAACGCUGGCGGCGUGCUUAACACAUGCAAGUCGAACGGAAAGGCCCUGCUUUUGUGGGGUGCUCGAGUGGCGAACGGGUGAGUAACACGUGAGUAACCUGCCCUUGACUUUGGGAUAACUUCAGGAAACUGCGGCUCAUAUCGGAUAGGAGCUCUUGCUGCAUGGUGGGGGUUGGAAAGUUUCGGCGGUUGGGGCUGGACUCGCGGGUUAUCAGCUUGUUGGUGGGGUAGUGGAGUACCAAGGCUUUGACGGGUAGCCGGCCUGGGAGGGUGACCGGCGACAUGGGGACUGAGAUACGGCCCAGAAUCCUACGGGAGGCAGCAGUGGGGAAUAUUGCAGAAUGGGCGGAAGCCUGAUGCAGCAACGCCGCGUGCGGGAUGACGGCCUUCGGGUUGUAAACCGCUUUCGCCUGUGACGAAGCGUGAGUGACGGUAAUGGGUAAAGAAGCACCGGCUAACUACGUG